AUUGAACGCUGGCGGCAGGCCUAACACCUGCAAGUCGUGCGAGCGGCGGACGGGUGAGUAAUGUAUGGGGAUCUGCCUGAUGUAGGGGGAUAACUACUGGAAACGGUAGCUACUACCGCAUACCAUCAGAUGUACCCAUAUGGGAUUAGCUUGUAGGUAAGGUAACGGCUUACCUAGGCGACGAUCCCUAGCUGGUCUGAGAGGAGGAUCAGCCACACUGGGACUGAGACACGGCCCAGACUCCUACGGGAGGCAGCAGUGGGGAAUAUUGCACAAUGGGAGCAAGCCUGAUGCAGCCAUGCCGCGUGUAUGAAGAAGGCCUUCGGGUUGUAAAGUACUUUCAGUCGGGAGGCGUUACCGACAGAAGAAGCACCGGCUAACUCCGUGCCAGCAGCCGCGGUAAUAC
This 406-nucleotide ribosomal RNA is filed under the name uncultured bacterium. RNAcentral describes it as "partial 16S ribosomal RNA". It matches the Rfam family "Bacterial small subunit ribosomal RNA", at positions 30 to 526 of the family's 1533-position model. The record is from RNAcentral.